UGCAGGAUCAGCCGCCCGUCUCCUUGUCUUUGGAACCCCAUUGUUGAUUCAGAUUCAGUUUGAAACCUUCAAUUCAUCUUGCAAAUUCAGUGCUUGUUUCCUCGUUCUUGCUAGUUCUUCGAUUGCUUGCAGGACGGGAGCCCUAGGGGCUGGUUGUCGCGCUCCACAAGAUCGUGACGGCUCUUGGACGUGGUGUAUCGGUUGCUAAGGCGCAGUCUUGAGGGCUGUAGUCGGGCCGUGAACGUCAUCUCCAUCCACUAAUCGAGUUAUCCAGCGCCUCUCAUCGAAAGAUCAGGCCAAAAACCCUAGCGGGUUCGCAUC
RNAcentral lists this long non-coding RNA (321 nucleotides) under Sorghum bicolor (sorghum). Its description in RNAcentral is "long non-coding RNA (SBIC_LNC018475)". Lineage: Eukaryota; Viridiplantae; Streptophyta; Magnoliopsida; Poales; Poaceae. The record is from RNAcentral.